This 745-nucleotide ribosomal RNA is filed under the name Lactiplantibacillus paraplantarum. Its description in RNAcentral is "bacterial SSU rRNA". It matches the Rfam family "Bacterial small subunit ribosomal RNA", at positions 49 to 759 of the family's 1533-position model. Lineage: Bacteria; Bacillati; Bacillota; Bacilli; Lactobacillales; Lactobacillaceae. The record is from RNAcentral.
UAAUACAUGCAAGUCGAACGAACUCUGGUAUUGAUUGGUGCUUGCAUCAUGAUUUACAUUUGAGUGAGUGGCGAACUGGUGAGUAACACGUGGGAAACCUGCCCAGAAGCGGGGGAUAACACCUGGAAACAGAUGCUAAUACCGCAUAACAACUUGGACCGCAUGGUCCGAGUUUGAAAGAUGGCUUCGGCUAUCACUUUUGGAUGGUCCCGCGGCGUAUUAGCUAGAUGGUGGGGUAACGGCUCACCAUGGCAAUGAUACGUAGCCGACCUGAGAGGGUAAUCGGCCACAUUGGGACUGAGACACGGCCCAAACUCCUACGGGAGGCAGCAGUAGGGAAUCUUCCACAAUGGACGAAAGUCUGAUGGAGCAACGCCGCGUGAGUGAAGAAGGGUUUCGGCUCGUAAAACUCUGUUGUUAAAGAAGAACAUAUCUGAGAGUAACUGUUCAGGUAUUGACGGUAUUUAACCAGAAAGCCACGGCUAACUACGUGCCAGCAGCCGCGGUAAUACGUAGGUGGCAAGCGUUGUCCGGAUUUAUUGGGCGUAAAGCGAGCGCAGGCGGUUUUUUAAGUCUGAUGUGAAAGCCUUCGGCUCAACCGAAGAAGUGCAUCGGAAACUGGGAAACUUGAGUGCAGAAGAGGACAGUGGAACUCCAUGUGUAGCGGUGAAAUGCGUAGAUAUAUGGAAGAACACCAGUGGCGAAGGCGGCUGUCUGGUCUGUAACUGACGCUGAGGCUCGAAAG